RNAcentral lists this ribosomal RNA (446 nucleotides) under uncultured bacterium. RNAcentral describes it as "bacterial SSU rRNA". It matches the Rfam family "Bacterial small subunit ribosomal RNA", at positions 329 to 792 of the family's 1533-position model. The record is from RNAcentral.
GGCCAGACUCCUACGGGAGGCAGCAGUGGGGGAUAUUGCACAAUGGGGGAAACCCUGAUGCAGCGACGCCGCGUGGGUGAAGAAGCGCCUCGGCGCGUAAAGCCCUUUCAGCAGGGAAGAAAAUGACGGUACCUGAAGAAGAAGCCCCGGCUAACUACGUGCCAGCAGCCGCGGUAAUACGUAGGGGGCAAGCGUUAUCCGGAUUUACUGGGUGUAAAGGGGGCGCAGACGGCGAUGCAAGCCAGGAGUGAAAGCCCGGGGCCCAACCCCGGGACUGCUCUGGAAACUGCGUCGCUGGAGUACGGGAGGGGCAGGCGGAAUUCCUGGUGUAGCGGUGAAAUGCGUAGAUAUCAGGAGGAACACCGGCGGUGAAGGCGGCCUGCUGGACCGUGACUGACGUUGAGGCUCGAGAGCGUGGGGAGCAAACAGGAUUAGAUACCCCCGUA